CCUGGCGGCUAGAGCGCGGUGGUCCCACCUGACCCCAUGCCGAACUCAGAAGUGAAACGCCGUAGCGCNUCUCCCCAUGCGAGAGUAGGGAACUGCCAGGC
RNAcentral lists this ribosomal RNA (101 nucleotides) under Tatumella sp. JGM94. Lineage: Bacteria; Pseudomonadati; Pseudomonadota; Gammaproteobacteria; Enterobacterales; Erwiniaceae. The record is from RNAcentral. RNAcentral also lists the same sequence under 1 other name.